AUCCUUUUGUAGUUCAUAAAUGUUAUGAUUUUUUUUUCACUCAUAAGUGAGAUGUACCUUCCUUAAAGGUUGUUAUACCAUCAACACAAUACACAUCUGACA
Small nucleolar RNA from Saimiri boliviensis boliviensis (Bolivian squirrel monkey), 102 nucleotides. RefSeq annotates it as small nucleolar RNA U13. NCBI's taxonomy places the organism in Eukaryota, Metazoa, Chordata, Mammalia, Primates, Cebidae. The record is from RefSeq and is a predicted model, not a curated record.